Long non-coding RNA from Homo sapiens (human), 1505 nucleotides. RefSeq lists it as uncharacterized. NCBI's taxonomy places the organism in Eukaryota, Metazoa, Chordata, Mammalia, Primates, Hominidae. The transcript has a single exon. The record is from RefSeq and is a predicted model, not a curated record.
AUGCAGCCCAGCAGAGAGGCCCUGGAACUCAGAGGACUCCCAAAGUCCGUGAGCACAGUGUCCUCAACAAAACCCCCCCUCACCACACCUUCCUCAACAAACCCCUCACGCCAACUGGCUCUGGAGGACUGUGUCCAAUUGCGAGCUGCCUUGGAUUUAGGUUAUGGUCCUGAAUGCUGCUGCCACCACCUCCCUGAAGUGGCUCACAAGUCCUCAGCCUCCGCCGGAGCCCCAAGUGCCAGACUCCCCCUUCAGCCGCACAGCCUGGGCACUCGGACCAAGCUGCCACCUUCCCUGUGCUUGCCGGGGCCAGGUAGGACACGUCUCACAACAGAGCCUUUUCCGGGGGCGCCCUUCUGCAGUGAUUCUUGCAGUCCUGCACUCUGCUGUGUUCUGCUCACACCAGGCAGGGGGAGAGGGAGCGUGGCCCCUCUGGGAAGCUCCCAGGACGGCAGGGGUGGGUGCUGCCCUACAGAUACAGUACCUGCUGCACAGGGAAUGGACGCCUCCUGGACGGUGGCCCCAGCCCAGGAAUGGCUGGGACACCCACUCCAGUCUUGCCCACAGUCUGCUUCCAGAGGACACUUGCCCCUGCCUCUCCCCACCCCCACCACGCCCUGCAUCUCGCAGCCACCUGGAAGGAGAUGUAGACCCCACUGUGGUAAGGAGCUGUUCAGAGCCCCCGGAGCCCUCCACUUCCUACCACGCAGACAUCCUGCUGCUGUGCGACACAGAUGGACCAGGGCUUGUCCUGAAGGUCCCAGGAUGCACAUUCCUCAGGGAUGGCUACUCUCCUCCCCCUCCCUGUUAACAGACUGGUUUUCCAUGGACUCCUUUAAGCCCCCAAGUCUGGCCUCUGGUCAAAUUUCAAAGACAUGAUGGGGUGGUCUGUUAAGACUGAGUAGCUCAUGUGGCACCAGGUGAGGGCUGCUCAGGCCUGCAUUAAGGAGGGGAGCCCGAACAACGGGCCUCCCCCUUCCCCCCACCCACAACGAAGCAGCUGCUGCUGGCUCCUCUCCCAGAGACUGGAAGAGAAUUGAUGAGAACACCGGGGACCCAGCAGUUCCACUCCCAGGCCUAAAUCUAAGAGGGCAAAGUCAAGCCUCCACUCAAAACCUUGUGUGUGCACACACUCCCGGCAGCAGGAUUCACAACAGCCACGGAGUGGAAGCAGAGCCAGCUGUCCAGUGGAGGAUGAACACACAGCGGGGAAGACAUGGGCCGUGCAACCGCGGCUGCCACAGAGAAAGCGCAGGAGCAGUGCAUGCUGCGUGAGAAGCUGGGCACCAGGCAGAAAGCAGAGUCCGGGAGCUGGGGGAGGAGGGGACAGCAAGUGCCUGCUCAAUGGCCCUGAGGUUUAAGGUGAUGGAGCUGAUCUAGAUAGAAUUGGGGGUGAUGGCUGUAUAACUGGGAAUACACUAAAAUCCCUGACUUGUACACUGUGGCCACCUGAAGUGAACAGUACACGCUUUCUGUCUCAGUAAAGCUACGCAAAGAACAGCAGA